CAAGGUGUCGCAGUGGUUAACGAAUCUGAAUGGGAACCAUGAGGUUGCAGGUUCGAUCCCUGCCCUUG
Non-coding RNA from Sus scrofa (pig), 68 nucleotides. The record is from Rfam. NCBI's taxonomy places the organism in Eukaryota, Metazoa, Chordata, Mammalia, Artiodactyla, Suidae.